CAGCAGCCGCGGUAAUACGUAAGGGGCGAGCGUUGUUCGGGAUUAUUGGGCGUAAAGGGUGAGUAGGCGGAUAUAUAAGUCUAUGCAUAAAAUACCACAGCUCAACUGUGGAACUAUGUUGGAAACUAUAUGUCUAGAGUCUGAUAGAGGAAGUUAGAAUUCCUGGUGUAAGGGUGGAAUCUGUUGAUAUCAGGAAGAAUACCGGAGGCGAAGGCGAACUUCUAGGUCAAGACUGACGCUGAGUCACGAAAGCGUAGGGAGCAAACAGGAUUAGAUACCCUGGUAGU
This 287-nucleotide ribosomal RNA is filed under the name uncultured Borrelia sp. RNAcentral describes it as "partial 16S ribosomal RNA". It matches the Rfam family "Bacterial small subunit ribosomal RNA", at positions 509 to 794 of the family's 1533-position model. The record is from RNAcentral. Lineage: Bacteria; Pseudomonadati; Spirochaetota; Spirochaetia; Spirochaetales; Borreliaceae.